Acanthosepion pharaonis is the source of this 110-nucleotide non-coding RNA. The record is from the annotation of a GenBank genome assembly. Lineage: Eukaryota; Metazoa; Mollusca; Cephalopoda; Sepiida; Sepiidae.
CUUGCGACCAUACUACGUUGAAACAUUGGUUCUCGCUCGAUCACCGAAGAUAAGCAACGUUGAAUCUAGUCAGUACCUAGAUGGGUGAGCACUGGGAAAUAUCAGGUGCU